CCUACGAGUGGCAGCAGUCGAGAAUCAUUCACAAUGGGGGAAACCCUGAUGGUGCGACGCCGCGUGGGGGAAUGAAGGUCUUCGGAUUGUAAACCCCUGUCAUGUGGGAGCAAAUUCAAAAGAUAGUACCACAAGAGGAAGAGACGGCUAACUCGGUGCCAGCAGCCGCGGUAAUACAGAGGUCUCAAGCGUUGUUCGGAAUCAAUGGGCGUGAAGCGUGUGUAGGGUGUUUCGUAAGUCGUGUGUGAAAGGUGCGGGCGCAACCCGCAGACAGCAAAUGAUACUGCGAGAAUAGAGUAAUGGAGGGGGACGCGGAAUGCUCGGUGUAGCAGUGAAAUGCGUAGAUAUCGAGCGGAACACUCGUGGCGAAGGCAGGUUCCUGGACAUUAACUGACGCUGAGGCACGAAGGCCAGGGGAGCGAAAGGGAUUAGAUACCCGUGUAGUC
This 446-nucleotide ribosomal RNA is filed under the name uncultured bacterium. RNAcentral's name for it is "partial 16S ribosomal RNA". It matches the Rfam family "Bacterial small subunit ribosomal RNA", at positions 338 to 795 of the family's 1533-position model. The record is from RNAcentral.